Molecule: ribosomal RNA, 511 nt
Filed under: uncultured bacterium
Lineage: Bacteria
Description: bacterial SSU rRNA
Rfam family: Bacterial small subunit ribosomal RNA
Source: RNAcentral
GGGAUUAGGGUUUGAUUCUGGCUCAGGAUGAACGCUAGCGGCAGGCUUAACACAUGCAAGUCGAGGGGUAACAGGAGUAGCUUGCUACUUGCUGACGACCGGCGCACGGGUGCGUAACGCGUAUAGAAUCUACCUUGUACUAGGGGAUAGCCUUUGGAAACGAAGAUUAAUACCCUAUAGUAAGUAUUUAUGGCAUCAUUAAUACUUUAAAGGUUACGGUACAAGAUGACUAUGCGUCCUAUUAGUUUGUUGGUGAGGUAACGGCUCACCAAGACUUCGAUAGGUAGGGGCCCUGAGAGGGGGAUCCCCCACACUGGUACUGAGACACGGACCAGACUCCUACGGGAGGCAGCAGUGAGGAAUAUUGGACAAUGGAGGCAACUCUGAUCCAGCCAUGCCGCGUGCAGGAUGACGGCCCUAUGGGUUGUAAACUGCUUUUAUGUAGGAAGAAACACUCUCACGUGUGAGAGCUUGACGGUACUACAAGAAUAAGGACCGGCUAACUCCGUGC